GAUGAACGCUAGCGGCAGGCUUAACACAUGCAAGUCGAGGGGUAUUGGUUUUCGGACCAAGAGACCGGCGCACGGGUGCGUAACGCGUAUGCAAUCUACCUUUUGCAGAGGGAUAGCCCCAGAGAAAUUUGGAUUAAUACCUCAUAGUAUAGUACUUUGGCAUCAAGGAACUAUUAAAGUCACAACGGCAAAAGAUGAGCAUGCGUCCCAUUAGCUAGUUGGUAAGGUAACGGCUUACCAAGGCUACGAUGGGUAGGGGUCCUGAGAGGGAGAUCCCCCACACUGGUACUGAGACACGGACCAGACUCCUACGGGAGGCAGCAGUGGGGGAAUAUUGGACAAUGGGCGAAAGCCUGAUCCAGCAAUGCCGCGUGAGUGAUGAAGGCCUUAGGGUUGUAAACUGCUUUUGUACGGAACGAAACGGUGAGCUCUAAUACAGUUUGCUAAUGACGGUACCGUAAGAAUAAGCAACCGGCUAACUACGUGCCCAGCCAGCCGCGGUAAUGU
This 507-nucleotide ribosomal RNA is filed under the name uncultured bacterium. RNAcentral describes it as "bacterial SSU rRNA". It matches the Rfam family "Bacterial small subunit ribosomal RNA", at positions 28 to 526 of the family's 1533-position model. The record is from RNAcentral.